RNAcentral lists this unclassified non-coding RNA (273 nucleotides) under uncultured fungus. RNAcentral's name for it is "partial contains small subunit ribosomal RNA, internal transcribed spacer 1, and 5.8S ribosomal RNA". The stretch from base 1 to 73 matches the Rfam family "Eukaryotic small subunit ribosomal RNA", at positions 1759 to 1831 of the family's 1831-position model. Lineage: Eukaryota; Fungi. The record is from RNAcentral.
UCAAACUUGGUCAUUUAGAGGAAGUAAAAGUCGUAACAAGGUCUCCGUAGGUGAACCUGCGGAGGGAUCAUUAGAGAGUUGCAAAACUCCCCAAACCAUCGCGAACAUACCACUGUCGUUGCUUCGGCGGGCGGCCCCAGGCGGGGCCCGCGGCUACGGCGCCCGCCGGAGUCCCCUAUACUCUUGCUGCAAGCGGCCUCUCUGAGUCGUACCGAAUACGUUAAAACUUUCAACAACGGAUCUCUUGGCUCUGGCAUCGAUGAAGAACGCAGC